GAUGAAGAACGUAGCGAAAUGCGAUAAGUAAUGUGAAUUGCAGAAUUCAGUGAAUCAUCGAAUCUUUGAACGCACAUUGCGCCCGCCAGUAUUCUGGCGGGCAUGCCUGUUCGAGCGUCAUUUCAACCAUCAAGCCCCAGGCUUGUGUUGGGGACCUGCGGCUGCCGCAGGCCCUGAAAACCAGUGGCGGGCUCGCUGUCACACCGGGCGUAGUAGAUUUUAUCUCGCUCAGGGCGUGCUGCGGGUUCCGGCCGUUAAAAAGCCUUUUUUACCCAAGGUUGACCUCGGAUCAGGUAGGAAGACCCGCUGAACUUAAGCAUAUCAAUAAGCGGAGAA
This 336-nucleotide unclassified non-coding RNA is filed under the name soil metagenome. Its description in RNAcentral is "partial contains 5.8S ribosomal RNA, internal transcribed spacer 2, and large subunit ribosomal RNA". The stretch from base 1 to 120 matches the Rfam family "5.8S ribosomal RNA", at positions 35 to 154 of the family's 154-position model. The record is from RNAcentral.